Molecule: ribosomal RNA, 450 nt
Filed under: uncultured prokaryote
Description: bacterial SSU rRNA
Rfam family: Bacterial small subunit ribosomal RNA
Source: RNAcentral
UCGAGAAUCUUCCGCAAUGGACGAAAGUCUGACGGAGCGACGCCGCGUGCGGGAUGAAGGCCUUCGGGUUGUAAACCGCUGUCACAGGUUAAGAAUGGGUCAGACGAUAAUAUCGGCUGGCUUUGACAAAGGCCUGAGAGGAAGCCACGGCUAACUUCGUGCCAGCAGCCGCGGUAAGACGAAGGUGGCAACCGUUGUUCGGAAUCACUGGGCAUAAAGCGCACGUAGGCGGGUAAGUAAGUCGGGUGUGAAAUCCCUCGGCCCAACCGAGGAACUGCGCCCGAUACUGCUUAUCUUGAGGGCAGGAGGGGAUCGUGGAAUUCCUGGUGGAGCGGUGAAAUGCGUUGAUAUCAGGAGGAACACCGGCGGCGAAGGCGACGAUCUGGCCUGCUUCUGACGCUGAGGUGCGAAAGCCAGGGGAGCAAACAGGAUUAGAUACCCGGGUAGUCC